This 206-nucleotide ribosomal RNA is filed under the name uncultured bacterium. RNAcentral describes it as "partial 16S ribosomal RNA". It matches the Rfam family "Bacterial small subunit ribosomal RNA", at positions 568 to 773 of the family's 1533-position model. The record is from RNAcentral.
CACGUAGGCGGACAUUUAAGUCAGGGGUGAAAUCCCGGGGCUCAACCCCGGAACUGCCUUUGAUACUGGGUGUCUCGAGUCCGGAAGAGGUGAGUGGAAUUCCGAGUGUAGAGGUGAAAUUCGUAGAUAUUCGGAGGAACACCAGUGGCGAAGGCGGCUCACUGGUCCGGUACUGACGCUGAGGUGCGAAAGCGUGGGGGAGAAAC